UUUAACGAGGAACAAUUGGAGGGCAAGUCUGGUGCCAGCAGCCGCGGUAACCCCAGCUCCAAUAGCGUAUACUAAAGUUGCUGCAGUUAAAAAGCUCGUAGUUGGAUUUCAGGACAGGAUCUAUUGGUUGGUAUGAUUUACUAACCUUUAGCUUCCGCCUAAUCAGCCACUUGUCAUUUUGGGUGCUCUUUAUCGGGUGCUCAGAAUACUCGGCACGUUUACUUUGAAAAAAUUAGAGUGCUCAAAGCAGGCCUUGUGCUUGAAUACUGUUGCAUGGAAUAAUGGAAUAGGACUUCGGUUCUAUUUUGUUGGUUUUCGGAAUCGAAGUAAUGAUUAAUAGAGACAGACGGGGGCAUCUGUAUGGUGGUGUUAGAGGUGAAAUUCGAUGAUCGCCGCCAGACAAACAACUGCGAAAGCAUUUGUCUAGGAUGUUUUCAUUAAUCAAGAACGAAAGUCAGAGGUUCGAAGACGAUCAGAUACCGUCCUAGUUCUGACCAUAAACUAUGCCAACUGACAAUCGAGAUUUAUUUGUUCUAAUCAUCUCGGCAGUCCCUGGGAAACCUUUAAGUCUAUCGGUUCUGGGGGGAGUAUGGUUGCAAAGGCGAAACUUAAAGGAAUUGACGGAAGGGCACCACCAGGUGUGGAGCCUGCGGCUUAAUUUGACCCAACACGAGAAAACUCACCCGGCCCGGACACUGUGAGGAUUGACAGAUUGAUAGCUCUUUCUUGAUUCAGUGGGUGGUGGUGCAUGGCCGUUCUUAGUUGGUGGAGUGAUUUGUCUGGUUAAUUCCGAUAACGAACGAGACUCUAACCUGCUAACUAGUUGCCACGUGCUUAAUUGCGUGGAUUCAACUUCUUAGAGGGAUUCGCUACUCUAUAGUGGCACGAAACUGAGCAAUAACAGGUCUGUGAUGCCCUUAGAUGUUCGGGGCCGCACGUGCGCUACACUGACGAUAUCAGCGAGUUUAUUCCUAAGCCGAAAGGUUUGGGAAAUCUUAUGAAUUAUCGUCAUGUCAGGGAUUGGGGCUUGUAAUUAUUCCCCAUGAACGAGGAAUACCCAGUAAGCGCAAGUCAUAAGCUUGCGUUGAUUACGUCCCUGCCCUUUGUACACACCGCCCGUCGCUACUACCGAUUGGAUGACUUAGUGAGGCCUUUGGAUUGGAAUCAAUAGAUUGGCGCAAGACAAUUUGUUGAAUCCGAGAAAAUCGUCAAACUUGGCCAUCUAGA
Molecule: ribosomal RNA, 1227 nt
Filed under: metagenome
Description: SSU rRNA
Rfam family: Eukaryotic small subunit ribosomal RNA
Source: RNAcentral